CCUACGGGAGUCAGCCGUGGGGAAUAUUGCACCAUGGGGGAAACCCUGAUGCAGCGACGCCGCGUGAGUGAAGACGUAUUUCGGUACGUAAAGCUCUAUCAGUAGGGAAGAAAAAAAGUCCUUUGGACUUUGGACGGUACCUGACCAAGCAGCCCAGCCUAACUCCGUGCCAGCAGCCGCGGUAUUACGUCGGGGGCAAGCGUUAUCCGGAUUUACUGGGUGUAAAGGGAGCGUAGACGGCAGCGCAAGUCUGGAGGGAAAUGCCGGGGCCUAACCCCGGAACUGCUUUGGAAACUGUGCAGCUGGAGGGCAGGAGAGGUAAGCGGAAUUCCGAGUGGAGCGGUGAAAUGCGUAGAUAGUAGGAGGAACACCAGUGGCGAAGGCGGCUUACUGGACUGUAACUGACGUUGAGGCUCGAAAGCGUGGGGAGCAAACAGGAUUAGAUACCCCAGUAGUC
Molecule: ribosomal RNA, 457 nt
Filed under: uncultured bacterium
Lineage: Bacteria
Description: partial 16S ribosomal RNA
Rfam family: Bacterial small subunit ribosomal RNA
Source: RNAcentral